This 363-nucleotide small RNA is filed under the name Arabidopsis thaliana (thale cress). RNAcentral's name for it is "ATSL126210". The record is from RNAcentral. Lineage: Eukaryota; Viridiplantae; Streptophyta; Magnoliopsida; Brassicales; Brassicaceae.
AUAACGUGAAAUAGGGUGAAGAAGAGAAGAAGGAGAGGAAAGAGGAAGAAGGUGAUUGGGUUUGUGUUUAAUCCGGUUAAAAUCAGGUUUUCUUUGGUUAAAAACGGUUAAAUAAAUAAUAACCGAUAAAACCCAGAUAUAUGGAUUAAUAGAUCUCGAAGUAUUAAUUCGGGGAGAUUUAGCUAUAGAACUUACGUUUCGGGGAGAAAUAUGUUUAAAACUUUGUUUUCAUGGACAUGUAGACCGGAGUUAAAGUUUGGGCUCUAUCUGGCAUGAUGCGGUACUUCUCGUGGGGAAAUAGACCGUUUUUCCGUGAAUAUCCUGAUCCGUAUAUAUUGAAAAAAGUUUGAAUUACUUUUCCUU